RNAcentral lists this ribosomal RNA (1480 nucleotides) under uncultured bacterium. RNAcentral's name for it is "16S ribosomal RNA". It matches the Rfam family "Bacterial small subunit ribosomal RNA". The record is from RNAcentral.
AACGCUGGCGGCGUGCCUAAUACAUGCCUGUCGAGCGCGGGAAGCGGACAAAACUCUUCGGAGGGACGUUCGUGGAACGAGCGGCGGACGGGUGAGUAACACGUAGGCAACCUGCCUGUCAGACUGGGAUAACUCUCGGAAACGCUAGCUAAUACCGGAUAAUAAUUAUCAUCUCCUGAUGGUAAUUUGAAAGGCGGUUUUUGCUGUCACUUACAGAUGGGCCUGCGGCGCUUUAUCUAGUUGGUGGGGUAACGGCUCACCAAGGCGACUAUGCGUAGCCGACCUGAUAGGGUGAUCGGCCUCUCUGGGACUGAGACACGGCCCAGACUCCUACUGGAGGCAGCAGUAGGGAAUCUUCCGCAAUGGACGAAAGACUGACGGAGCAUCGCCCCGUGAGUGAUGAAAGUUUUCGGAUCGUAAAACUCUGUUGUCGGGGAAGAACAACUAUGAUAGUAACUGAUCGUACCUUGACGGUACCCGACCAGAAAGCCACGGCUAACUACGUGCCACCACCCGCGGUACUACGUAUGUGGCAAGCGUUGUCCGGAAUUAUUGGGCGUAAAGCGCUCGCUUGCGGUUCUUUCAGUCUGAUGUGAAAUCUUGCGGCUCAACCGUAAACGUGCAUUGGAAACUGGAGGACUUGAGUGCAGAAGAGGAGAGUGGAAUUCCACGUGUAGCGGUGAAAUGCGUAGAGAUGUGGAGGAACACCAGUGGCGAAGGCGACUCUCUGGUCUGUAACUGACGCUGAGGAGCGAAAGCGUGGGGAGCGAACAGGAUUAGAUACCCUGGUAGUCCACGCCGUAAACGAUGAGUGCUAGGUGUUAGGGGGUUUCCGCCCCUUAGUGCUGAAGUUAACGCAUUAAGCACUCCGCCUGGGGAGUACGGCCGCAAGGCUGAAACUCAAAAGAAUUGACGGGACCCGCACAAGCGGUGGAGCAUGUGGUUUAAUUCGAAGCAACGCGAAGAACCUUACCAGGUCUUGACAUCCUUUGACCGCUCUGGAGACAGAGUUUUCCCUUCGGGGACAAAGUGACAGGUGGUGCAUGGUUGUCGUCAGCUCGUGUCGUGAGAUGUUGGGUUAAGUCCCGCAACGAGCGCAACCCUUGAUCUUAGUUGCCAGCAUUUAGUUGGGCACUCUAAGGUGACUGCCGGUGACAAACCGGAGGAAGGUGGGGAUGACGUCAAAUCAUCAUGCCCCUUAUGACCUGGGCUACACACGUGCUACAAUGGACGGAACAAAGGGAAGCAAGCCCGCGAGGUCAAGCAAAUCCCAUAAAACCGUUCUCAGUUCGGAUUGUAGGCUGCAACUCGCCUACAUGAAGCCGGAAUCGCUAGUAAUCGCGGAUCAGCAUGCCGCGGUGAAUACGUUCCCGGGUCUUGUACACACCGCCCGUCACACCACGAGAGUUCGUAACACCCGAAGUCGGUGAGGUAACCUUUUUGGAGCCAGCCGCCGAAGGUGGGACGAAUGAUUGGGGUG